Molecule: long non-coding RNA, 551 nt
Filed under: Fukomys damarensis (Damara mole-rat)
Lineage: Eukaryota; Metazoa; Chordata; Mammalia; Rodentia; Bathyergidae
Description: lncRNA (ENSFDAG00000029729.1)
Source: RNAcentral
CACAGUCUCCGUCGCAGAACACUGCCUCCUGCAGGAGCAGCUUUAGAGAGCUCAGUCUGCCCCUUGGGGUGAAUGCUGAGGGAUUUCCCAGUGUGGGAAAAACCUGGUCCCAGUGGAUGAGAGCCACCCAACCAAGAGAGGAGGUGCUGAGAUCAGCAAAUGAGGAUGACCGAUCCAAGACUGCACAGAAUGACAUUUACGGGGGACUUACAGGCGGAAGUGUUUCAAAUGGCAGAAAGGCAGGGCUUAGAGUUAUGUCAGCACAGGAAGGCCGCACGCCUGUGCAGCUGGCGCGCUCUGCUCACUGUUUUGGUACCACAGUGCCCUCUCCGGAAGGAGCAUGCUGGAGCAACCAGGAUUCCACAGGACACAGCACCAGGGGAGCUGACCCACACUCCUUCCCUCCCCUCCCAAGCCUGUGUCAGCCUCUGCCUGUCCGUGGAAACUUCUACUGAUGCAGCCUCGUGACAGACACAGCCAGAGCCACCCAGGGGAGCCACUUCCGGAUUCCCUGACUCUACGAACCAUGCAGGAAAAGAAACUAUUUUAAG